This 571-nucleotide ribosomal RNA is filed under the name uncultured bacterium. RNAcentral's name for it is "bacterial SSU rRNA". It matches the Rfam family "Bacterial small subunit ribosomal RNA", at positions 1 to 605 of the family's 1533-position model. The record is from RNAcentral.
UAGAGUUUGAUCAUGGCUCAGGAUGAACGCUGGCGGCGUGCCUAACACAUGCAAGUCGAGCGAUUCUCCUCGGAGAAGAGCGGCGGAUGGGUGAGUAACGCGUGGGUAACCUGCCCUGUACACACGGAUAACAUACCGAAAGGUAUGCUAAUACGAGAUAAUAUGCUUUUAUCGCAUGGUAGAAGUAUCAAAGCACCGGCGGUACAGGAUGGACCCGCGUCUGAUUAGCUAGUUGGUAAGGUAACGGCUUACCAAGACGACGAUCAGUAGCCGACCUGAGAGGGUGAUCGGCCACAUUGGAACUGAGACACGGUCCAAACUCCUACGGGAGGCAGCAGUGGGGAAUAUUGCACAAUGGGCGAAAGCCUGAUGCAGCAACGCCGCGUGAGCGAUGAAGGCCUUCGGGUCGUAAAGCUCUGUCCUCAAGGAAGAUAAUGACGGUACUUGAGGAGGAAGCCCCGGCUAACUACGUGCCAGCAGCCGCGGUAAUACGUAGGGGGCUAGCGUUAUCCGGAAUUACUGGGCGUAAAGGGUGCGUAGGUGGUUUCUUAAGUCAGAGGUGAAAGGCUAC